Molecule: non-coding RNA, 73 nt
Organism: Parelaphostrongylus tenuis
Lineage: Eukaryota; Metazoa; Nematoda; Chromadorea; Rhabditida; Metastrongylidae
Source: the annotation of a GenBank genome assembly
GCGUCGGUGGUGCAACGGUUUAGCACAUACUCCUGGAUAGAGUAGGAUCCGGGUUCAAAUCCCGGCUGACGCA